AUUGAACGCUGGCGGCAGGCCUAACACAUGCAAGUCGAACGGUAACAGAAAGCAGCUUGCUGCUUUGCUGACGAGUGGCGGACGGGUGAGUAAUGUCUGGGAAACUGCCUGAUGGAGGGGGAUAACUACUGGAAACGGUAGCUAAUACCGCAUAACGUCGCAAGACCAAAGAGGGGGACCUUCGGGCCUCUUGCCAUCGGAUGUGCCCAGAUGGGAUUAGCUAGUAGGUGGGGUAACGGCUCACCUAGGCGACGAUCCCUAGCUGGUCUGAGAGGAUGACCAGCCACACUGGAACUGAGACACGGUCCAGACUCCUACGGGAGGCAGCAGUGGGGAAUAUUGCACAAUGGGCGCAAGCCUGAUGCAGCCAUGCCGCGUGUAUGAAGAAGGCCUUCGGGUUGUAAAGUACUUUCAGCGGGGAGGAAGGGAGUAAAGUUAAUACCUUUGCUCAUUGACGUUACCUGCAGAAGAAGCACCGGCUAACUCCGUG
This 490-nucleotide ribosomal RNA is filed under the name uncultured bacterium. RNAcentral describes it as "partial 16S ribosomal RNA". It matches the Rfam family "Bacterial small subunit ribosomal RNA", at positions 30 to 507 of the family's 1533-position model. The record is from RNAcentral.